GCUCAGAUUGAACGCUGGCGGCAGGCCUAACACAUGCAAGUCGAACGGUAACAGGAAGAAGCUUGCUUCUUUGCUGACGAGUGGCGGACGGGUGAGUAAUGUCUGGGAAACUGCCUGAUGGAGGGGGAUAACUACUGGAAACGGUAGCUAAUACCGCAUAACGUCGCAAGACCAAAGAGGGGGACCUUCGGGCCUCUUGCCAUCGGAUGUGCCCAGAUGGGAUUAGCUUGUUGGUGGGGUAACGGCUCACCAAGGCGACGAUCCCUAGCUGGUCUGAGAGGAUGACCAGCCACACUGGAACUGAGACACGGUCCAGACUCCUACGGGAGGCAGCAGUA
This 338-nucleotide ribosomal RNA is filed under the name uncultured bacterium. RNAcentral's name for it is "bacterial SSU rRNA". It matches the Rfam family "Bacterial small subunit ribosomal RNA", at positions 22 to 356 of the family's 1533-position model. The record is from RNAcentral.